UACGUAAGGGGCGAGCGUUAUCCGGAAUUACUGGGUGUAAAGGGAGCGCAGGCGGGAAGCCAAGUCAGCUGUGAAAACUACGGGCUUAACUUGUAGACUGCAGUUGAAACUGGUUUUCUUGAGUGAAGUAGAGGUUGGCGGAAUUCCGAGUGUAGCGGUGAAAUGCGUAGAUAUUCGGAGGAACACCGGUGGCGAAGGCGGCCAACUGGGCUUUAACUGACGCUGAGGCUCGAAAGUGUGGGGAGCAAACAGG
This 253-nucleotide ribosomal RNA is filed under the name uncultured bacterium. RNAcentral's name for it is "partial 16S ribosomal RNA". It matches the Rfam family "Bacterial small subunit ribosomal RNA", at positions 524 to 776 of the family's 1533-position model. The record is from RNAcentral.